AGCUCCAAUAGCGUAUAUUAAAGUUGCUGCAGUUAAAAAGCUCGUAGUUGCAUUUCCGAGGCAAGGGAUUAGUCCGACCUUUGGUGGGUAUUUAAUCCUCUUGCCUCGUCCUUGAGUGGUGCUUCUUGGUAUUAAGUUAUCGAGGAGAUAGCCGCUCAUCGUUUACUGUGAGAAAAUUAGAGUGUUCAAAGCAGGCUUAUGCCGUUGAAUAUAUUAGCAUGGAAUAAUAAGAUAGGACCUCGGGACUAUUGUGUUGGUUUGAGAACCAAGGUAAUGAUGAAUAGGGACAGUUGGGGGUAUUCGUAUUCAGUUGUCAGAGGUGAAAUUCUUAGAUUUACGGAAGACGAACUACUGCGAAAGCAUUUACCAAGGAUGUUUUCA
RNAcentral lists this ribosomal RNA (381 nucleotides) under uncultured marine Chaetocerotaceae. RNAcentral describes it as "SSU rRNA". It matches the Rfam family "Eukaryotic small subunit ribosomal RNA", at positions 587 to 972 of the family's 1831-position model. The record is from RNAcentral. Lineage: Eukaryota; Bacillariophyta; Thalassiosirophyceae; Chaetocerotales; Chaetocerotaceae.